UUUCUAUUAUUAUAGAAUUGAGUAAAUAAAUUACUCAGCAUUUGUUGCUCAUUAUUUAAUUGAGCUUUAUCUUUGGUUUCAUUUCUAUUUUAAUAUGUUGUUUCGCCAAACAAAUUCAGUUCAAGUAUGAAUAGCCUUUGAUUGAUGCCACUAAACCAAACCAAUUUUGCAGAUCCCACUGUCGCCCUUGCAUUCGCAUACCCGGGAUCGAGAGAUGGUUUCUAAGGUCACGCUAAACAGUACACUUUGAUUUUCAACAAUGUGACAUAGCUCUUCUAAGUGUAGGGCAUUAAUUUACUAGCAAAUUGAGACGUAUCUUGUAGCCGUCUACAAUGACAACCGGACACGGCACAAAGGACACAAACGUCUACUGUAUCAAAUAAUAACCAAAUUUACAUAAACGCGAUUGCCACUCCAUAUAGGUUACACAUGCAGCACACAAUUUAAACAGCUCGAGAUCGGUCGGCAUAUAAUCAUGAUCGAACGUAAUUGUGGUUGAAUGUUUAGCAGGCAAUAUGGCUAGACCUGCUUAUAAAUUUCUAGGAUUGGACGGUACCUCGCUCAGUGAUGGGCGUUGCAGUUAGCGUCGUGUACGCUAAAUGAAUGCGAUCCAUAAAUGUUUGAAAACGAAGCUCAACACAUACUUGAUUAUCAGUUUAAACGCCAAAUGUCGCUCGUUAAAACUUGGAGAAGGACCCUACUAAGUUGUUAGUCGGAAAAUCGGAAACAUUCUUUGUGAAAUAGUAGUUGUAAUUCUUAACUAGUAUUACAGAUUGGUUACAGAGAGCAGACAUUAAAUUGAUAUGAUUUAUUAAUAAAUACGCCAAUAAAUUGCCUAAUUAAUGGGCGAAUUCUAAAUA
This 860-nucleotide small RNA is filed under the name Drosophila virilis. Its description in RNAcentral is "GJ25967". Lineage: Eukaryota; Metazoa; Arthropoda; Insecta; Diptera; Drosophilidae. The record is from RNAcentral.